This 223-nucleotide long non-coding RNA is filed under the name Elaeis guineensis (African oil palm). Its description in RNAcentral is "long non-coding RNA (EGUI_LNC027142)". The record is from RNAcentral. Lineage: Eukaryota; Viridiplantae; Streptophyta; Magnoliopsida; Arecales; Arecaceae.
CCUGGUUCUAUAUAAUAAAGAAAAGAAAUAGAGCAAGAAAAAAGAAUGAGAGCACUCACCUCCAUAAAGUGAGAACUUUUUUGCUAAUUUCAAAAAAUCUAUGAUAAACAACGGAACAUGUAUUAGCUAGGGACUAUUACAAUCAUGGUCCAAAUAUUAUUUUAUGCAGUGUAUGUACUACAAGAAGCAAAAUUCUUAUCCCUAUUGCCAAUUCAUAUAUGGA